This 253-nucleotide ribosomal RNA is filed under the name uncultured bacterium. Its description in RNAcentral is "partial 16S ribosomal RNA". It matches the Rfam family "Bacterial small subunit ribosomal RNA", at positions 524 to 776 of the family's 1533-position model. The record is from RNAcentral.
UACGUAGGGUGCGAGCGUUGUCCGGAAUUAUUGGGCGUAAAGAGCUCGUAGGCGGUCUGUCGCGCCGAAUGUGAAAACCCGGGGCUCAACUCCGGGCUUGCAUUCGAUACGGGCAGGCUAGAGUUCGGUAGGGGAGUCUGGAAUUCCUGGUGUAGCGGUGAAAUGCGCAGAUAUCAGGAGGAACACCGGUGGCGAAGGCGGGACUCUGGGCCGAUACUGACGCUGAGGAGCGAAAGCGUGGGGAGCGAACAGG